This 754-nucleotide ribosomal RNA is filed under the name uncultured bacterium. Its description in RNAcentral is "bacterial SSU rRNA". It matches the Rfam family "Bacterial small subunit ribosomal RNA", at positions 8 to 749 of the family's 1533-position model. The record is from RNAcentral.
AGAGUUUGAUCCUGGCUCAGAUUGAACGCUGGCGGCAGGCCUAACACAUGCAAGUCGAGCGGCAGCGGGAAAGUAGCUUGCUACUUUUGCCGGCGAGCGGCGGACGGGUGAGUAAUGCCUGGGGGUCUGCCCAGUCGAGGGGGAUAACAGUUGGAAACGACUGCUAAUACCGCAUACGCCCUACGGGGGAAAGGAGGGGACCUUCGGGCCUUUCGCGAUUGGAUGAACCCAGGUGGGAUUAGCUAGUUGGUGGGGUAAUGGCUCACCAAGGCGACGAUCCCUAGCUGGUCUGAGAGGAUGAUCAGCCACNCUGGAACUGAGACACGGUCCAGACUCCUACGGGAGGCAGCAGUGGGGAAUAUUGCACAAUGGGGGAAACCCUGAUGCAGCCAUGCCGCGUGUGUGAAGAAGGCCUUCGGGUUGUAAAGCACUUUCAGCGAGGAGGAAAGGUUGGCGCCUAAUACGUGUCAACUGUGACGUUACUCGCAGAAGAAGCACCGGCUAACUCCGUGCCAGCAGCCGCGGUAAUACGGAGGGUGCAAGCGUUAAUCGGAAUUACUGGGCGUAAAGCGCACGCAGGCGGUUGGAUAAGUUAGAUGUGAAAGCCCCGGGCUCAACCUGGGAAUUGCAUUUAAAACUGUCCAGCUAGAGUCUUGUAGAGGGGGGUAGAAUUCCAGGUGUANCGGUGAAAUGCGUAGAGAUCUGGAGGAAUACCGGUGGCGAAGGCGGNCCCCUGGACAAAGACUGACGCUCA